Molecule: ribosomal RNA, 491 nt
Filed under: uncultured bacterium
Lineage: Bacteria
Description: partial 16S ribosomal RNA
Rfam family: Bacterial small subunit ribosomal RNA
Source: RNAcentral
AGUGAACGCUGGCGGUAGGCCUAACACAUGCCAGUCGAACGGCAGCACAGUAAGAGCUUGCUCUUACGGGUGGCGAGUGGCGGACGGGUGAGGAAUACAUCGGAAUCUACUUUUUCGUGGGGGAUAACGUAGGGAAACUUACGCUAAUACCGCAUACGACCUACGGGUGAAAGCAGGGGAUCUUCGGGCCUUGCGCGAUUGAAUGAGCCGAUGUCGGAUUAGCUAGUUGGCGGGGUAAAGGCCCACCAAGGCGACGAUCCGUAGCUGGUCUGAGAGGAUGAUCAGCCACACUGGAACUGAGACACGGUCCAGACUCCUACGGGAGGCAGCAGUGGGGAAUAUUGGACAAUGGGCGCAAGCCUGAUCCAGCCAUACCGCGUGGGCGAAGAAGGCCUUCGGGUUGUAAAGCCCUUUUGUUGGGAAAGAAAAGCAGCAGGUUAAUACCCCGCUGUUCGGACGGUACCCAAAGAAUAAGCACCGGCUAACUUCGU